RNAcentral lists this long non-coding RNA (247 nucleotides) under Oryza sativa Indica Group (long-grained rice). Its description in RNAcentral is "lncRNA OsZS97_03G031230". Lineage: Eukaryota; Viridiplantae; Streptophyta; Magnoliopsida; Poales; Poaceae. The record is from RNAcentral.
AUGGAAAGGACUAAACAUGGUACAAACACAGAAAGGGGAAGGCAAGUGAUGUUGGAGAACAGAAAAGGAGUGUGCCCGUAUUACCGGCAUGGAAGCACAAGCAGUUUGCUAGUUGAGUUAUGGGUGAAAGACUCCACGGACCACUGUAUAAAUCCUGACGCCCACAAACAUCACACACACAUGGGCAUCAUUCGUGUAAGGAUUGAAAGACGUUUAAGCCAGUAUAACAUGGGUUAGCUAAACAAAU